UUCUCUUCUCUGUCGUUCGGCUAAGAUCAAGUGUAGUAUCCAUUCUUAUCAGUCUGCUAUCUAAUACAUCCCCGAACUGGAGAACAUGAAAUACGUUUGUGGAAAUACGUUUGUGUCCUUUUGCGAGGACACAUCCUCUGUGGUCUGUGAGUGGAGAUGUGUCUUAUGUU
Molecule: small nuclear RNA, 170 nt
Filed under: Oncorhynchus mykiss (rainbow trout)
Lineage: Eukaryota; Metazoa; Chordata; Actinopteri; Salmoniformes; Salmonidae
Description: U2 spliceosomal RNA (ENSOMYG00000027765.2)
Rfam family: U2 spliceosomal RNA (bases 1-139)
About the family: U2 is a small nuclear RNA (snRNA) component of the spliceosome (involved in pre-mRNA splicing). Complementary binding between U2 snRNA (in an area lying towards the 5' end but 3' to hairpin I) and the branchpoint sequence (BPS) of the intron results the bulging out of an unpaired adenosine, on the BPS, which initiates a nucleophilic attack at the intronic 5' splice site, thus starting the first of two transesterification reactions that mediate splicing.
Source: Rfam by way of RNAcentral